GGAUCGCGGGCGAUCUCCCGCGGUCCGCCCGAGGGUGGGGGUACGGCCCAUCAGGUUGUUGGCGGGGUAACGGCCCGCCAAGCCGAAGACGGGUAGGGGCGGUGAGAGCCGUGAGCCCCGAGAUGGGCACUGAGACAAGGGCCCAGGCCCUACGGGGUGCAGCAGGCGCGAAUACUCCGCAAUGCGGGCAACCGCGACGGGGCCACCCCGAGUGCCGGGCGAAGAGCCCGGCUUUUGCCCGGUGUAAGGAGCCGGGCGAAUAAGCGGGGGGUAAGUCUGGUGUCAGCCGCCGCGGUAAUACCAGCCCCGCGAGUGGUCAGGGUGAUUACUGGGCUUAAAGCGCCCGUAGCCGGCCCGGCAAGUCGCUCCUGAAAUCCCCAGGCUCAACCUGGGGGCAGGGGGCGAUACUGCCGGGCUAGGGGGCGGGAGAGGCCGCCGGUACUCCGGGGGUAGGGGCGAAAUCCUAUAAUCCCCGGAGGACCACCAGUGGCGAAAGCGGGCGGCCAGAACGCGCCCGACGGUGAGGGGCGAAAGCCGGGGGAGCAAAGGGGAUUAGAUACCCCUGUAGUCCCGGCCGUAAACGAUGCGGGCUAGCUGUCGGCCGGGCUUAGGGCCCGGCCGGUGGCGUAGGGAAACCGUUAAGCCCGCCGCCUGGGGAGUACGGCCGCAAGGCUGAAACUUAAAGGAAUUGGCGGGGGGGCACCACAAGGGGUGAAGCUUGCGGCUUAAUUGGAGUCAACGCCGGA
RNAcentral lists this ribosomal RNA (746 nucleotides) under uncultured Thermoproteales archaeon. RNAcentral describes it as "bacterial SSU rRNA". It matches the Rfam family "Archaeal small subunit ribosomal RNA", at positions 172 to 922 of the family's 1478-position model. Lineage: Archaea; Thermoproteati; Thermoproteota; Thermoprotei; Thermoproteales. The record is from RNAcentral.